GACGAACGCUGGCGGCGUGCCUAAUACAUGCAAGUAGAACGCUGAAGGAGGAGCUUGCUCUUCUGGAUGAGUUGCGAACGGGUGAGUAACGCGUAGGUAACCUGCCUGGUAGCGGGGGAUAACUAUUGGAAACGAUAGCUAAUACCGCAUAACAGUAGAUGUUGCAUGACAUUUACUUAAAAGGUGCAAUUGCAUCACUACCAGAUGGACCUGCGUUGUAUUAGCUAGUUGGUGGGGUAACGGCUCACCAAGGCGACGAUACAUAGCCGACCUGAGAGGGUGAUCGGCCACACUGGGACUGAGACACGGCCCAGACUCCUACGGGAGGCAGCAGUAGGGAAUCUUCGGCAAUGGACGGAAGUCUGACCGAGCAACGCCGCGUGAGUGAAGAAGGUUUUCGGAUCGGAAAGCUCUGUUGUAAGAGAAGAACGAGUGUGAGAGUGGAAAGUUCACACUGUGACGGUAUCUUACCAGAAAGGGACGGCUAACUACGUG
RNAcentral lists this ribosomal RNA (495 nucleotides) under uncultured bacterium. RNAcentral describes it as "partial 16S ribosomal RNA". It matches the Rfam family "Bacterial small subunit ribosomal RNA", at positions 28 to 507 of the family's 1533-position model. The record is from RNAcentral.